GGGAUAUUGCACAAUGGGGGGAACCCUGAUGCAGCGACGCCGCGUGGGUGAAGAAGCGCCUCGGCGCGUAAAGCCCUGUCAGCAGGGAAGAAAAUGACGGUACCUGAAGAAGAAGCCCCGGCUAACUACGUGCCAGCAGCCGCGGUAAUACGUAGGGGGCAAGCGUUAUCCGGAUUUACUGGGUGUAAAGGGGGCGCAGGCGGCGAUGCAAGCCAGGAGUGAACGCCCGGGGCCCAACCCCGGGACUGCUCUUGGAACUGCGUGGCUGGAGUGCAGGAGGGGCAGGCGGAAUUCCUGGUGUAGCGGUGAAAUGCGUAGAUAUUAGGAGGAACACCAGUGGCGAAGGCGGCUUACUGGACUGUAAAUGACGCUGAGGCUCGAAAGCGUGGGGAGCAAACA
RNAcentral lists this ribosomal RNA (399 nucleotides) under uncultured bacterium. RNAcentral describes it as "bacterial SSU rRNA". It matches the Rfam family "Bacterial small subunit ribosomal RNA", at positions 358 to 774 of the family's 1533-position model. The record is from RNAcentral.